Molecule: unclassified non-coding RNA, 353 nt
Filed under: soil metagenome
Description: partial contains 5.8S ribosomal RNA, internal transcribed spacer 2, and large subunit ribosomal RNA
Rfam family: 5.8S ribosomal RNA (bases 1-120)
Source: RNAcentral
GAUGAAGAACGCAGCGAAACGCGAUAUGUAAUGUGAAUUGCAGAAUUCAGUGAAUCAUCGAAUCUUUGAACGCACAUGGCGCCUUCCAGUAUCCUGGGAGGCAUGCCUGUCCGAGCGUCGUUUCAACCCUCGAGCCCUCGUGGCCCGGCGUUGGGGAUCUGCACGGCAGGCCCCGAAAUACAGUGGCGGACCCGUUAGGCCCUUCCUUUGCGUAGUAGCAUUAGCCUCGCAUCGGGAGCCGGCGGGCUCUCCUGCCUCUAAACCCCCCAACAAGCCCGCUUCGGCGGCACCAAGGUUGACCUCGGAUCAGGCAGGAAUACCCGCUGAACUUAAGCAUAUCAAUAAGCGGAGGA